This 301-nucleotide ribosomal RNA is filed under the name uncultured bacterium. Its description in RNAcentral is "partial 16S ribosomal RNA". It matches the Rfam family "Bacterial small subunit ribosomal RNA", at positions 509 to 807 of the family's 1533-position model. The record is from RNAcentral.
CAGUAGCCGCGGUAAUGCGUAGGGUGCAAGCGUUAAUCGGAAUUACUGGGCGUAAAGCGUGCGCAGGCGGUCCGCUAAGACAGAUGUGAAAUCCCCGGGCUCAACCUGGGAACUGCAUUUGUGACUGGCAAGCUAGAGUAUGGCAGAGGGGGGUGGAAUUCCGCGUGUAGCAGUGAAAUGCGUAGAUAUGCGGAGGAACACCGAUGGCGAAGGCAGCCCCCUGGGCCAAUACUGACGCUCAUGCACGAAAGCGUGGGGAGCAAACAGGAUUAGAUACCCCAGUAGUCCCUGUCUCUUAUAC